UGAGAAACGGCUGUCACAUCCAAGGAAGGCAGCAGGCGCGCAAAUUACCCAAUCCCCGAACGGGGAGGUAGUGACGAGAAAUAGCGAUGCCGCAAUCUUUUGAUUCGGCAAUUGAAAUGAGAACAAUGAAAGAAUUUUAUCGAGAAUCUAUUGGAGGGCAAGUUCUGGUGCCAGCAGCCGCGGUAAUUCCAGCUCGAAAAGCGUAUGUUAAAGUUGCUGCGGUUAAAACGCUCGUCGUUGGACAUCAGGAAAUGGUUCGUGGACGGCCUAGAGUCGGUACUACGGAUUCACUCCUUUUUAUGCCAGUUCAUCGAUGAUUCACUUUAUUGUGUGUCGCGGUAGAAGGUCAAUGUCACUUUGAGAAAAUUAGUGUGCUCAACGCAGGCUUUAUGCUUGAAUAAUGCUGCAUGGGAUGACGAAAUAGGGCCUCGGUUCCGUUUCGUUGGUUUACGAAAGCAGAGGUCAUGAUUAAUCGGGACAGACGGGGGCAUUCGUAUUGCGGUGCUAGAAGUGAAAUUCUGUGACCAUCGCAAGACGGACAACUGCGAAAGCAUUUGCCAAGAAUGUUUUCAUUAAUCAAGAACGAAAGUUAGAGGAUCGAAGACGAUUAGAUACCGUCCUAGUUCUAACUGUAAACUAUGCCGACUGGGGAUUCGCCAGUGCAAUUUAGCUUGGCGAGCACCCUCCGGGAAACCAAAGUGAUUGGGUUCCGGGGGGAGUAUGGUUGCAAAAUCGAAACUUAAAGGAAUUGACGGAGGGGCACACCAGAAGUGGAGCCUGCGGCUUAAUUUGACUCAACGCGCGAAAGCUUACUCGGUCCGAACACCGUGAGGAUUGACAGGUUGAAAGCUCUUUCUUGAUCCGGUGGGUAGCGGUGCAUGGCCGUUCGUAGUUGGUGAAGUGAUUUGUCUGGUUUAUUCCGAUAACGAACGAGACUCUAGCCUACUAAUUAGCGCAGUGAUUGUUUGUCGCUGCAAUGCUUCUUAGAGGGACAGGUGUUGCUUAAGCACACGAAGUAGAGCAAUAACAGGUCUGUGAUGCCCUUAGAUGUUCGAGGCUGCACGCGCGCUACAAUGGAGGGCACAAAGCGCACUAUGCAUAUCGGAAGAUGUGCGGAAUCGUAAAUAGCCUUCAUGACUGGGAUCGGAGAUUGAAAUUAUUCUUCGUGAACGAGGAAUUCCUAGUAAGCGCGAAUCAUUAUCUCGCGUUGAUUAAGUCCCUGCCCUUUGUACACACCGCCCGUCGCUACUACCGAUUGAAUGAUUUGGUGAGGUCUGUGGAUAGGUGUCACUGGGCUAACCACCCUGUUGACUUACCUAGAAGCUGCCCAAGCUUGAGCGUUUAGAGGAAGUAAAAGUC
This 1359-nucleotide ribosomal RNA is filed under the name Longicollum pagrosomi. RNAcentral describes it as "SSU rRNA". It matches the Rfam family "Eukaryotic small subunit ribosomal RNA", at positions 397 to 1790 of the family's 1831-position model. The record is from RNAcentral. Lineage: Eukaryota; Metazoa; Acanthocephala; Palaeacanthocephala; Echinorhynchida; Pomphorhynchidae.